Molecule: ribosomal RNA, 500 nt
Filed under: uncultured bacterium
Lineage: Bacteria
Description: partial 16S ribosomal RNA
Rfam family: Bacterial small subunit ribosomal RNA
Source: RNAcentral
AUUGAACGCUGGCGGCAUGCCUUACACAUGCAAGUCGAACGGCAGCACGGGAGCAAUCCUGGUGGCGAGUGGCGAACGGGUGAGUAAAGUAUCGGAACGUGCCCAGUCGUGGAGGAUAACGUAGCGAAAGUUACGCUAAUACCGCAUACGAUCUAGGGAUGAAAGCGGGGGAUCGCAAGACCUCGCGCGAUUGGAGCGGCCGAUAUCAGAUUAGGUAGUUGGUGGGGUAAAGGCUCACCAAGCCGACGAUCUGUAGCUGGUCUGAGAGGACGACCAGCCACACUGGGACUGAGACACGGCCCAGACUCCUACGGGAGGCAGCAGUGGGGAAUUUUGGACAAUGGGCGAAAGCCUGAUCCAGCCAUGCCGCGUGCAGGAUGAAGGCCUUCGGGUUGUAAACUGCUUUUGUACAGAACGAAAAGGUUUGGCCUAAUAAGCUGAGCCCAUGACGGUACCGUAAGAAUAAGCACCGGCUAACUACGUGCCAGCCGCCGCCGUAA